AUACGGAGGAUGCGAGCGUUAUCCGGAUUUAUUGGGUUUAAAGGGUGCGUAGGCUGUGCGUUAAGUCAGGGGUGAAAUGCCGUCGCUCAACGACGGAGCUGCCCUUGAUACUGGCGUGCUGGAGUACGGAUGCCGUUGGAGGAAUGAGUGGUGUAGCGGUGAAAUGCUUAGAUAUCACUCAGAACACCGAUUGCGAAGGCAUCUGACGAAUCCGUCACUGACGCUGGGGCACGAAAGCGUGGGGAUAGAACAGGAUUAGAUACCCUGGUAUUCCACGCCGUAAACGAUGAUGACUAACCGUCGGCGAUAGACAGCCGGUGGCCAAGCGAAAGCGAUAAGUCAUCCACCUGGGGAGUACGUCGGCAACGAUGAAACUCAAAUGAAUUGACGGGG
This 393-nucleotide ribosomal RNA is filed under the name uncultured bacterium. Its description in RNAcentral is "partial 16S ribosomal RNA". It matches the Rfam family "Bacterial small subunit ribosomal RNA", at positions 523 to 918 of the family's 1533-position model. The record is from RNAcentral.